UGCAAGUCGUGCGGACCUUUUAAAAGCUUGCUUUUAAAAGGUUAGCGGCGGACGGGUGAGUAACACGUGGGCAACCUGCCUGUAAGACUGGGAUAACGCCGGGAAACCGGGGCUAAUACCAGAUAGUUUUUUCCUCCGCAUGGAGGAAAAAGGAAAGGCGGCUUCGGCUGCCACUUACAGAUGGGCCCGCGGCGCAUUAGCUAGUUGGCGGGGUAAUGGCCCACCAAGGCAACGAUGCGUAGCCGACCUGAGAGGGUGAUCGGCCACAUUGGGACUGAAACACGGCCCAAACUCCUACGGGAGGCAGCAGUAGGGAAUCUUCCGCAAUGGACGAAAGUCUGACGGAGCAACGCCGCGUGAGUGAAGAAGGCCUUCGGGUCGUAAAACUCUGUUGCCGGGGAAGAACAAGUGCCGUUCGAACAGGGCGGCGCCUUGACGGUACCCGGCCAGAAAGCCACGGCUAACUAC
RNAcentral lists this ribosomal RNA (468 nucleotides) under uncultured bacterium. Its description in RNAcentral is "bacterial SSU rRNA". It matches the Rfam family "Bacterial small subunit ribosomal RNA", at positions 56 to 504 of the family's 1533-position model. The record is from RNAcentral.